Mustela erminea (ermine) is the source of this 137-nucleotide long non-coding RNA. RefSeq lists it as uncharacterized. The transcript is spliced from 3 exons. The record is from RefSeq and is a predicted model, not a curated record. Lineage: Eukaryota; Metazoa; Chordata; Mammalia; Carnivora; Mustelidae.
AUAUGCUAAGGAGACCUUUUCAUGUUGUUAUUAUUAUAUACCAGUAGUGGUAUUAGAGCUUAAAAAUAGUAAUGUUUAGAGUGACUUUGUUUGUAAUCUUUUUUUCAGCUAUUUAAAAAUAGCAGAAUAUUGUAUAG